AAACCAACAGGGAUUGCCUUAGUAGCGGCGAGUGAAGCGGCAAAAGCUCAAAUUUGAAAUCUGGCUCUUUCAGAGUCCGAGUUGUAAUUUGAAGAAGGUAUCUUUGGGUCUGGCUCUUGUCUAUGUUUCUUGGAACAGAACGUCACAGAGGGUGAGAAUCCCGUGCGAUGAGAUGAUCCAGGCCUAUGUAAAGUUCCUUCGAAGAGUCGAGUUGUUUGGGAAUGCAGCUCUAAGUGGGUGGUAAAUUCCAUCUAAAGCUAAAUAUUGGCGAGAGACCGAUAGCGAACAAGUACAGUGAUGGAAAGAUGAAAAGAACUUUGAAAAGAGAGUGAAAAAGUACGUGAAAUUGUUGAAAGGGAAGGGCUUGAGAUCAGACUUGGUAUUUUGUAUGUUACUUCUUCGGGGGUGGCCUCUACAGUUUAUCGGGCCAGCAUCAGUUUGGGCGGUAGGAGAAUUGCGUUGGAAUGUGGCACGGCUUCGGUUGUGUGUUAUAGCCUUCGUCGAUACUGCCAGCCUAGACUGAGGACUGCGGUUUAUACCUAGGAUGUUGGCAUAAUGAUCUUAAGUCGCCCG
RNAcentral lists this ribosomal RNA (573 nucleotides) under Candida tropicalis. Its description in RNAcentral is "LSU rRNA". It matches the Rfam family "Eukaryotic large subunit ribosomal RNA", at positions 62 to 651 of the family's 3401-position model. The record is from RNAcentral. Lineage: Eukaryota; Fungi; Ascomycota; Pichiomycetes; Serinales; Debaryomycetaceae.